CUGAAACCUUUCUAUGGUUCUCUGAGUUUGCUGCAUGAGAAACAUCACUUAAGGGCUCUAAGGGUUUUAGACAGUGUCUGAACGCGGUGCUUCUUGGCCCAUGGCACAAACUGUUUGACUUCAAGGAGUUCAUAUAAUGGCUAUGUUUUUGAUUAACAUCUAACACAUCUAAAAUAAUCUAACCAUUUAAUCUAGUUUAACCUAAUGUAACCUUAAUGCCUGAGUUGUGGCAAGCCCAGGGGAUCAUUCCCCCCAGUUACCCAAAUGCAGUAGGAGAGCUCUAGCAGAUUUGGCAGCUAAACCAGAGAAACUCUGCAGGAAAGCUGUAAAGUGGGUCAUUAAUGCUGAGAUUACUUACCUCGGCACAUUCACCAUGCAUUUUCCUAACUAAGCUUUUUAUUGAAAUCCUGUCCUGCUGCAUUCAGAUGGAGGAAUGAUAUGCUGCUCUGGGUUACGGAGGUUCCAUCCUUUAGUGCUGCCCUUCUGCGUGUAACUUAAUCACUUUUCCAAGCAGCAGUUCUAGAGAGCAGGAGCAUAUCAAGCAAUAAAGCACAGGCUAAGACAAAGGCCUGACCUUGCCUUUUGCUAACGAAAACAAAGAAAUGAACUCCCCAGUGUUAAAAAUGCACAGCAGUUCUAACCUGAUGUAGGAGGCAAUUUCACCAUGGGAGAAAAUUCAGGAAAGAAAUGUCGACACGGAUUGGAUGACAUUGCAUCUGCAGGGUCAGAGGGUCGGCUCCGUGUUUCUCUGAGAUGCUUUUGGUAGAUGCAGUAGCACGAGGAGGUCCGAUCCAGCAACAGAACCGUGUGCCAGAGAAGCCAGGGAAAGAGGCAGCAUCCUGCUGCUCCAUACUCCAUAUGCUGUCAGUGGUCCAGGCUUGCCUUAUUCCAUCCUUUUGGAAGUGGGAAUGACAUUCAUUGAGAGGAUGAUGUGUGGCACAAAAAGCCCUUCUCUCACCCCGGAUGAAUCAAUAGCUGUAAUAGGAGAGGCUCAGGGCAGUGCUGGUCUGUCAGCAUUCCUCUGCUUUUUGAGCUAUCUGAGCUGAGCCUCUCUGUGGUUUGAGGUCUGUGGAUUUGGGAAGAAAAUAGAGGAAAAAAAGAAGCAAAGUGAAUUUCACCCUUGAAGGACAUAGAAAUGAAUAUGUGAGGAAGCACAGAUGCUUUCCCGUUUGGAAAUGACAUUUAUCAAAUCAGGAGUACGCAAAGUACACCUGCAAGUAGGGAUGUCCGGGUGACUGCAGUGCCACUGAGUACCCUUGUGGUCUUCCUUCCCUCUUCUUGGUCCUACUCAUCAUGCACAGUGCACACACCUGCAGAUGAUAUCUAAGACACUGGGACAAAAACCAUCAACGUGAGAUGCGAGUUGUACCCUACAAACCAUGCCAGGAGAAACAGCUUCGCCCCAAGAAGCAGCCACUGAACCAGCCAAGGCAGGUGUGAAGACCAUGAAAACAUACCCAAACCCUGCUAAAUUAGAAGAGAUUCUUGCUUGUAUUGAGGAGCUGGCACUGCUCCCCUCCUGCUUUUAGCCCCCAGCACAGACCACACACGGGCUCUGCAGUUCCAGUUGCCCGGAGGACAUCAGGAAACAUGGAGAUGUGACACUGAGGAACAGUGGGCAUUGUGGGGAUGGGUCGACGGUUUGACUUGAUGAUCUUACAGGUCUUUUCUAACUUCAAGAUUUUAUAACUCUAUGAUCUGCCAUCAGGAUGCUCCCAGAGGCUGAAGGAAGGCAACAGCUGCAUCUCUGCAUCACUUUUACCAAAGCUGCUGGGGUGGGAUACCCACUGAUGUGGUCGGUGGGCAUCUGGUGGCACAGGCACACCAUCUCACCCAGAGAGAUAUAUAUGUUCCAUUUGGAGGCUUGCUUCUCAGAUUUUCUAGCCCAGCUCUAUAAAUCAAAGCAGCAUAAGGAACCCCAGGCAUCAUCAAGAUUAGUAGUUGGUGUAUCUGUCAGAAUCUUGUUUUGAUUCAUCUAAAGCUGUGC
Molecule: long non-coding RNA, 1987 nt
Organism: Gallus gallus (chicken)
Lineage: Eukaryota; Metazoa; Chordata; Aves; Galliformes; Phasianidae
Source: Ensembl